UGAAAUCUAAUAUAUAUAUUUAUAUCAUGAAUUGUGCUAAACGUGUGAUUUUAAUUUAGUCUGGUCCAGAUCAUUUGUUGUAGAGCCGUCAUGGCUUUUAUCAAGCUCGCUGACCAAACUACUGUACGCUCAGUUAUUCUAUCUGCAAUUAAGCAAAAGAAUGAUGGGGGCCGUGAUGUUGGUGUGAGCACGUCCUGGUGACGGACCCACCAAUAAAUACGCCUUUAAACAACGUGUAACCACAUGAGCGGGGAAUCAGUAGCACGCUGGUUGGAGUGCUCGUGCACGGGUAGAAACGCCUUGCUGAAGCCCAAACACACACACACACACCUUUAUACACGGAUGAAUCAGCCUUAUCUUCUUCACACAGUCGCCCCAAGGCCCCCUGCAUACGCCUCACCAGAGAUAAUACAACACACACACACACACACGGGCCAUCAAACGCAGCGCGCUGUGGAGCGAGUUCAUCUGGUUCCUUGGUCGGCUGAAUGAUGAGCUGCUGUGUGUCGGCCACACAUUCAUCACGCUGCCGACGCAAACCGAUAACUCACAGGCGCGCUAAUGUACACACACAAAGAUCACACUUACUUAAUCGCUCCAUUCAUCAGACGCAAACAAACAAAUAAAAAGACACGCCGCCACACACGAACACAGAGACACGACCGAAGACAGACGAAAAUCAUUAAAAAGACGCUUGAAACAGUGCACACAUGUUCGGCCGCUUGGUUUCCUUGAUGUCGAAUAUUCAUAUAAACAAGUGCGUUCUGCUCAAACAGGCGCCAAUUUGCCAAGCGGCACGGAGUGUUUGUUUGUGCGCCGCGUGCACACACACACACACACACACACACACGUGUGCGUGCCAGCCCCUCCGUAAUCUAAUAGGCACUAAGUGAAAGAGGUUUUUCCAGGCAGACGGUAAAUAACCAACAAUGAUCAAAUCAAAUUUGGCUUUGGGUGUUAAAACCCGAUGAGGGUGAGAAGGUUGGUUUAGCAGAUACCGUGUGUGUACACGCGCACACACACACACACACACACACACUAUCCCUCUCAUACUGUAUCAGCACCAAAAACAUGCAGCCAGCAGCUGGUUAGCUUAGCAUAAUGCCUGGAUGAAAACAAGAUGACAUCUUGGAAAAGCCUUGGCUACAGAUGAUGAGAGGCCCCCUCCUGCAACAAAUCCACCACUGUUCCCUCCCGCUGUAUCUGUCUCACCCUUUACCUCCCCCACCUCCCCCACCUCCCCACCAUGCGCCCGCCACCCAACAAUACCCUCGGCCUUUACGUACAGGUGUGCCGUUGUGUGUGUGGGUGCAGGCUCCGGGUUCAGGUGCGACUGCAGCUGUGGUGUCGAGUCUGUGUAGUGUGCGCGUGUGUGUGUGUGUGUGUGUGUGUGUUUGUUUGGGGGGUGUCAAAGCCCUGAUUGGAUUACAGUGCACAUAUGUAGAGAUGUACUAAAUAUAACGGAGCAUGUACGGAGGCGGCCUACAGGCAGACUGUCCUUAUUGACACAUAAAUACAUAUUUAUAUAUAAAUAUAUAUAUAUAUAUACACACACGCACACACAUGCCCCCCCCCCCGCCUCUGGAUAGAGAAACCAAACAGCCUCCCCAAUUGGGUUUCGCUUAAGAGGUUUAUCAGUAUGUUGCUAAACAUUCUGACCUUUUUUUAAAAAUCUUUAAUGCGCUUAAAAUGUUACAACCCCCCCCUCUAAUCCACGGCUAUCCCACACAGAUGUUCUCUCGGCUCUUUUAUUGGACUUAAUUUCAACCUCUUCUCCGUUCCUCUUCUCCUCCUCCAGACUCCACACGUCUCUCUUCUCUCCUCAAACCCCCCGUCCCGGUUUCAUUUGUUUCCGGUUUGGAAACAACUCAUCACCUUCAAUCUUCCACCAGCAAAGCUCAUCUUUGCUUUUUUCCUUACUGGGCCUUGAAGCAGCUGAUUGGUUGAGCAGACCGCAUCUGUCUCGUCAAUGACCUUUGACCCCACCUUCUCCCGAAGGUGCCAGCUGAAGGUUUUUGUUGGACGUGUUUCAUUAGAGGAUGUUGGAUUUUGUGUAACGAGACAAAGUACUGCGCAUUCGGGUUGAGGUUUAUCUCAGUUGGGCUUUUCAGUGUGUGGGGAAGCUUCCCAGUAAUGUGAUGAAUAUCGUAUCCAAAUCGUUUUUGGUGGGCGGAAGUAUGUUUUAGCGCCCAUGGGCAUUUUUGCUGUUUACGCACGCAUACCACAAGCGGUGCAGGAACACACAAUAACAAUCUCAAACUCUUACUUGUUCUGUGAGGUCAAAUGUUUUGAGUUUUUUAAAAAGCACACAGAAAACAGCUCUCGAUCCCCAAAAAUGUACAAAAAUGUUCUACAUAGAAAAACAGUUGGUUUUGGCUUUCAGGCUAAAAUCCGUGCUGCCAGUUAACGUCAGAUCAACACUCAGCUCUUCUCCCGUCCGACUUAUAAUAAAUAGUUCCAAUCACAUCCUUCGGCCACCCUGAAUACGCUGAGUGACGCGUGGACGAGCCGCCUGUGGCCUGCGAUGAAUGACCGCGUCCUUCCAACAGCACUAAUGUCCUGUGACCGGAGAGACGGCCCGCUGGCUCUCAGCGGAGCGUUCAAAGACCGUAGGAGUAACACGCUCUUUUUCUUGUUCUUGUUUUUUUCCUCUGGCUGUUUUUGCCGCUCUUCUUGGUGAAUUAUUUUGGCCUCCAUAUCCGCGGCCUCCCUGUCGAACCAGCAGGUUCUGCCGGUCCCCUCCGGCGCCGCACGCCGCCCUGUGCUCCGCGUUCGGCGUGCGGAGAAACGUGUGUGUGUGUGUCUCCACGUGACAGCGUGCGAACACGCGGGCCCCGGAACAAUAAACACAUCCCUCGGUGCAUGUGUGACGUUCAUGUGUGUGUGUGUGUGUGUUUUGGGUUUGUUUCUUUUUCCAUGCGGAGCACAUGUUGAGAUAAAGGCCGUAAACAGCUCUGAGUGACAGGCGGAGAACGGAGGGGGGAGGGGGGGGGGGCGCUGGAAGCCAGUCAGAGUGGUGGGUGCAGAGUGUCAGUCUACACAAUGUGCAGCGUUCUUUGUGUUCAUUUGAAAUGGCCAGGAUGAUUGAUAUCCGACAGACAUGAACACAUUUACGUCGACCUUUAGAAGCUUUUACACUUCGACGCCCAAACUCUACGGCAACCACGUGGUGGUCAAAACCACGCCAUGUCUUCCUGAGGAACAGAAAAGCAGCAACUUGCUGCGAGUUGCAUCACUUUUACAAAAAGACUAAUACAUAUUGAUAAUUAGAGGAAGAAAAACAAAGCAAAAUCCUUUUUUCUGCAACAAACAUUGCUGCGUUGGAAAAAAAACAGGAGAGUGACAAAAUGAAGGAAACUAUGUUCAAACUUUUUAAUCUAAUGAUUUUUUUAUUAUGCUUGAUUUCUUCCUGUGGAGAAGCUGAGGCUCAUAAAAAAAACACCGAGCUCGAGCCAAAUGGUUGGUUAGCAGACGAGAUGUCAUGCUAGCCAGACAUGCUGGACGGGCGGGCCACGCCUGAGGAGGAAUCUCGCCAUUUAAUGGGCCUGCGCCGCCCAGCUGAUUCACCAGCGCCAUCGCAGCCUAAUAGGCUCGGUUCUGGUGAAUCACUCCAGGUUUCCUUAAUGGAAAAGCCAAACACGCCGCUCCAACGCUGGGUGACAAGGGCACCUUGGGUUUGCAGAUGUUCACGCAGAUGACAGAUGGCGCCGACGUAGCUAAGGGAGCAACGGGAACGAUGUCUGCGCCAGGCUGGUGCCACAUGCCCCCCCCCCCCCGUCCUUCCCUCUGCACUGCAAAAUCCCCCCACCAACCCAUCCCAAAGUAUCGCAUAGCUGUGGUGCAUGAGACGGUGAGUGGAUGAACAUGCGGUGACUCAGCACCAUGCGGGUCAAGGCUCCGGCGUGUCCCACGCGUGCGGAUCCUGGUGUCACCGGGUUAAAUCCGGGUGGCAGCUUCUUUCCUUUGGAAACUCAACGUGCCGACGGGUGAAGGUUGCGGGAAGGUCGGAAGGUUAAAAUUGACGCUCGCUUUCUCUCUCCUGGGUAACUGUCGUCAGAACCUCUCUGAGUUCAUUCACUGUGUACUAACAGGUUCGUGUGAUACGCCACCAAAUGUAACUCAUCAUUUCUUUCUUGCUAAAGGCAGCAACACACGUCAACUUUCGUACUGUUUUCACAGGAAUAGAGAUGUAGGUUUAGGUAACAAAACUGCCAAGUUUAGGAAAAGAUUGUUGUUUUGGUAAAAAAAAAAGAAGAAAAAGUGUUGUAACAAUACUGUGUGAGAAAUAAGUCAACCUUGACUUGAACCGGCGUCCUGUAUUGUGUAAAAUGGAGGUUAAUGACAAUAUCAGCAGCAAUAUUGCAGAUUCAAACUCAAACCCAGCACGAAACCCGAACGGAACCUGGCUCUUCCUCCAGCCGCCACUAAAGGGCAUACGAGUUCAAACAGGAGGGCGUCCUAAAAGACAAACUAACAGGUCUGUGAGAGCCCGAAUUCUUACUGGUUGGUAGGUGAUCAAAUGUCAUGCAAUAAACUGCUAAAUAUUGUUUGAAAAAUCAUACAGUGUGGUUUUUUGGACUUUUGUUCCGUCACUCACAGUUGAAGAGAACCUAUGAUGGAAGAGACAGACUCCUACAUGCUUUGUGUGGGAAAACCUGCAAAAUCGGCAGUGUGUAUCAUAUUCUGAAUAUUGUAUAUAUAUAUAUAUACACACACAUAUACAUACAUAAAUUCAUUAAUACACUGAAUUGUUUGAAUAAGAUGUCCUUGUUAUGUUGGAAUAAAUGUUAAAUAUUUAACUGCAAAGUAAUAAUAAUAAUAAUAACCUCUUUUUUUGCAUUGAAUCUGGGAUACUGGGAUGUUUGCUGAAAUCGAUUGGCUGGCCCUCCCAACAUAUAAAGAAUCCACCAGGCGCCACUGCUUUAGGCGCUUCUAUAAUUGAUUUAACGCACAAUUCUUUUUUCACAAACAUUUGCAUAAAGCUUCUCACAGGGAGCAGAAAUGAUGCUAAGAGCAACUUUGAGGAGAAUCACUAAAAGAAACACAUUGUUUCCCAUUAGCAACAAUAAGGAAAUGUAUCUCCGUCAUUGGUCACUACUCGGAAACUUAUCGCUUCUGGCGGGAGAUUUCAGUUGCAACCCAUGAUAUUUUACAACAAUGCCAACUGGAAGAGAAAAAAAACACAAAACAGCUCUGUUGACCGAGUGAUCAAGUGGCACUUAGAGUCCGAGUGGGACAAAGCUUGGUGAUUAGCUCCCUCGUGUGCGGAAUGAAACAUUCAGCG
Long non-coding RNA from Gasterosteus aculeatus aculeatus (three-spined stickleback), 5284 nucleotides. NCBI's taxonomy places the organism in Eukaryota, Metazoa, Chordata, Actinopteri, Perciformes, Gasterosteidae. The record is from Ensembl.